GAUGAAGAACGUAGCGAAAUGCGAUAAGUAAUGUGAAUUGCAGAAUUCAGUGAAUCAUCGAAUCUUUGAACGCACCUUGCGCUCUUUGGUAUUCCGAAGAGCAUGCCUGUUUGAGUGUCAUGAAAAUAUCAACCUUGACUUGGGUUUUGUGCUCUAGUCUCGGCUCGGAAUUGGGUGCUUGCCGCUUUUACGAGCGGCUCACCUUAAAUGUAUUAGCUGGAUCUGUCUUUGAGACUUGGUUUGACUUGGCGUAAUAAGUAUUUCGCUAAGGACAUUCUUCGGAGUGGCCUCGUUUCUAGGACGCUUGUCCGCUUUCCAAUACAAGUUCCACCUCGUGGACAUGACUUUUUAUUAUCUGGCCUCAAAUCAGGUAGGACUUCCCGCUGAACUUAAGCAUAUCAAUAAGCGGAGGA
Molecule: unclassified non-coding RNA, 413 nt
Filed under: soil metagenome
Description: partial contains 5.8S ribosomal RNA, internal transcribed spacer 2, and large subunit ribosomal RNA
Rfam family: 5.8S ribosomal RNA (bases 1-120)
Source: RNAcentral